AAGACGAACGCUGGCGGCGCGUUUAAGCAUGCAAGUCGAGCGGCAAGGGCCUUCGGGCCCCUAGAGCGGCGGACGGGUGAGUAACACGUGGACAAUCCGUGCCCCCCGGCCCGGGAUAGCCCAGGGGAAACCUGGAUUAAUACCGGAUGAGACGGGACCCGCGAUGGCGGGAUCCGGGAAGGGCGCUGCGGCGCCGCCGGGGGAUGAGUCUGCGUCCCAUUAGCUAGACGCGGGGUAACGGCCCACCGUGGCGACGAUGGGUAGCCGGCCUGAGAGGGUGGACGGCCACAUUGGGAACUGAGACACGGUCCAGACUCCUACGGGAGGCAGCAGCUAAGAAUCUUCCGCAAUGGGCGAAAGCCUGACGGAGCCGACGCCGCGUGAACGAAGAAGGCCGUGAGGUUGUAAAGUUCUUUUCGGGAGGGGGAACAACCGUGGCAGGGAAUGGCCGCGGGAUGACGUGAAUCCCGGAAUAAGCCCCGGCUAACUACGUGCCAGCCGCUGC
RNAcentral lists this ribosomal RNA (505 nucleotides) under uncultured bacterium. RNAcentral's name for it is "bacterial SSU rRNA". It matches the Rfam family "Bacterial small subunit ribosomal RNA", at positions 26 to 518 of the family's 1533-position model. The record is from RNAcentral.